AGAGUUUGAUCAUGGCUCAGGAUGAACGCUGGCGGCGUGCCUAACACAUGCAAGUUGAGCGAGAAAUCACUUAAAGAAGCUUCGGUAGACUUAAGAGAUGGAGAGCAGCGGACGGGUGAGUAACGCGUGGGAAACCUGCCCUUGACAGGAGGAUAGCCGAGAGAAAUUUCGAUUAAUACUUCAUAAAGCAGAGCAUUCGCAUGGAUGAACUGCCAAAGAAUUAUCGGUCAAGGAUGGUCCCGCGUCUGAUUAGCUGGUUGGUAAGGUAGCGGCUUACCAAGGCGACGAUGGGUAGGGGAACUGAGAGGUUUAUCCCCCACACUGGUACUGAGACACGGACCAGACUCCUACGGGAGGCAGCAGUGAGGAAUAUUGGUCAAUGGGCGAGAGCCUGAACCAGCCAAGUCGCGUGAAGGAMGACWGUCSKAAGGAUUGUAAACUUCUUUUAUACGGGAAUAACGGGCGAUACGAGUAUUGCAUUGAAUGUACCGUAAGAAUAAGCAUCGGGCUAAACUCCGUGGCCAGCAG
RNAcentral lists this ribosomal RNA (528 nucleotides) under Eubacterium sp. oral clone 20-24. Its description in RNAcentral is "bacterial SSU rRNA". It matches the Rfam family "Bacterial small subunit ribosomal RNA", at positions 8 to 514 of the family's 1533-position model. Lineage: Bacteria; Bacillati; Bacillota; Clostridia; Eubacteriales; Eubacteriaceae. The record is from RNAcentral.